CAUUCACGGAGAGUUUGAUCCUGGCUCAGGACGAACGCUGGCGGCGUGCUUAACACAUGCAAGUCGAACGA
This 71-nucleotide ribosomal RNA is filed under the name Streptomyces sp. HNM0575. Its description in RNAcentral is "partial 16S ribosomal RNA". It matches the Rfam family "Bacterial small subunit ribosomal RNA", at positions 1 to 69 of the family's 1533-position model. The record is from RNAcentral. Lineage: Bacteria; Bacillati; Actinomycetota; Actinomycetes; Kitasatosporales; Streptomycetaceae.